RNAcentral lists this ribosomal RNA (468 nucleotides) under uncultured bacterium. Its description in RNAcentral is "partial 16S ribosomal RNA". It matches the Rfam family "Bacterial small subunit ribosomal RNA", at positions 28 to 507 of the family's 1533-position model. The record is from RNAcentral.
GACGAACGCUGGCGGCGUGCUUAACACAUGCAAGUCGAACGGAAAGGCCCUGCUUUUUUGGGGUGCUCGAGUGGCGAACGGGUGAGUAGCACGUGAGUAACGUGCCCUUGACUUUGGGAUAGCUUCAGGGAACUGGGGCUAAUAUCGGAUAGGAGCUCCUGCUGCAUUGUGGGGGUUGGAAAGUUUCGGCGGUUGGGGAUGGACGCGCGGGUUAUCAGCUUGUUGGUGGGGUAGUGGCUUACCAAGGCUUUGACGGGUAGCCGGCCUGAGAGGGUGACCGGCCACAUUGGGACUGAGGUACGGCCCAGACUCCUACGGGAGGCAGCAGUGGGGAAUAUUGCACAAUGGGCGGACGCCUGAUGCAGCAACGCCGCGUGCGGGAUGACCGCCUUCGGGUUGUAAACCGCUUUCGCCUGUGACGAAGCGUGAGUGACGGUAAUGGGUAAAGAAGCACCGGCUAACUACGUG